RNAcentral lists this ribosomal RNA (1371 nucleotides) under Amata formosae. RNAcentral describes it as "large subunit ribosomal RNA". Lineage: Eukaryota; Metazoa; Arthropoda; Insecta; Lepidoptera; Erebidae. The record is from RNAcentral.
GGGGGUAAAUUAAAAAAAAAAUAAAUAAUAAAAAAAUUUUUAGGGGGUUAGUAUUAAUAAAUAUUUUAAUGGGGGUUAAAGUAUAUUAAUAGAAAAAAUAAAGAUUUUUAUAGUGGAAUAGUAUUGUGAAAGAAGUUUGAAAUAAUUGAAAAUUUAAUUAUUUAAAAAGUAAUUUUAAUUUAGUGUAUCUUGUGUAUCAGAGUUUAUUAAAAAAAAUUUUAGGGGGAAAUUCUCGAAUUUAAGAGAGAUAAUUAGUUAAUAAAGUUAUUGUAAUAUAAAUAUUUUUAAUAAUUAAUUUGAAAUGAAAUGUUAAUCGUUCUUAAAGAUAUCUAGUUUUUUUAGAAAAAAAUUUAAUUUAAAAUUUAAAUAAAUAUAAUUUAAUUUAUUAAUUAAUUAAUUAUAUUAUAAAUUUAAUAUUUCAAGGGAUAAGCUUUGAAUUAAAAAAAUAUAAUUAAAAUAUUUUUUUUUAUUAAAAAUUUUAUUAUUUAUAUUGUAAAAAAAUUAUAGUUUAUUAUAAAUAAUUUUAAUUAAAAUAAAAUUUAAUUUAAUUUAUUUUUAUAUAAAAAAAAAUUAAAAUAAUUUAAUAAUAAUAAUAAUGGUAAAAUUAGUAUAUAAUAAUAAAAAUAAGAUAAAGUAUUAAGAUAAAUAUUAUAAAGGAAUUCGGCAAAUAAAAAUUUAUAUUCACUUGUUUAUCAAAAACAUGUCUUUUUGUAUAUAAUUAAAAGUCUAAUCUGCCCACUGAUUAAAAAUUAAAGGGCUGCAGUAUAUUGACUGUACAAAGGUAGCAUAAUCAAUAGUCAUUUAAUUGAUGACUGGAAUGAAGGAUUGGAUGAAAUAUAAACUGUCUUUAAUAUAAAUUGUAAAAUUUAAUUUUUAAAUUAAAAAGUUUAAAUAGAUUAAAAAGACGAGAAGACCCUAUAGAGUUUUAUAAAUAAUUAAAUUUAAGAAUAAAUUUUAAAUAAAAAUUUUUAAUUUUAGUAUUUAUUUUAUUGGGGUGAUAAAAAAAUAAAAGUAACUUUUUAUAUUAAUAUAACAUAAAUAAGUGAAUUAAUGAUCCAAUUUUAUUGAUUAAAAGAAAAAAUUACCUUAGGGAUAACAGCGUAAUUUAUUUUUUUAGUUCGUAUAAAAAGAUAAGUUUGCGACCUCGAUGUUGGAUUAAGAUAAAAGUUAAGUGCAAAAAUUUAAAUUUUUGAUCUGUUCGAUCAUUAAAAUCUUACAUGAUCUGAGUUCAGACCGGUGUGAGCCAGGUUGGUUUCUAUCUUUUAAAAAAAAAAAUAUUUUAGUACGAAAGGAUUAAAUAUUAAAAUUAAAUUUAUAAAUAGUUAGUGAAUUAAAUAAUUUAAAUUAAAAUUAUAAGUUAAUGAUAAUGGA